ACUGUUCCAAAGUAUGUCAAAACCAACAUUGGACUAAAGAUAAGAAAAAAUGCACUCACCUGAAAAUUGACUCUACCAGUGAAAGGUUUUCCUGCACAGAGGAAAAUGCCCACUCUUUACCAUCCCUAGCUCAAGGUUGCCACCCCCGUAAGGUCACCUCGCUAGUCGGCAGACAGUGCCUUAUUGAGUGUCACCUGAAUCGCCACCACCUCCAAGCUCUAUGGGACACAGGCUCUCAGGUAUCGGUCAUUGAUGAACGAUGGAAAGAGAAUGGGACUGAAAUGCCGUACCUGGGAUGGAUUGAAGCAACUUUUCGGCUAGCCUCUGAAACUGACCAAACAAAGCAACUGAUCAUCCCAGUGCUGGUAAUGAAAGCUUAGGGUCAUUGCUUAUGGCUCUCGAACCUUAACCUGUUAGGGCUAGGGGGCAGUAUUGACACAGCCGGAUAAAAAACGUACCCGAUUUAAUCUGGUUACUACUCCUGCCCAGUAACUAGAAUAUGCAUAUAAUUAUUGGCUUUGGAUGGAAAACACCCUAAAGUUUCUAAAACUGUUUGAAUGGUGUCUGUGAGUAUAACAGAACUCAAAUGGCAGGCCAAAACCUGAGAAGAUUCCAUGCAGGAAGUGGCCUGUCUGACAAGGUGUUUUAUCUUGGCUCUUUUUAUUGAAGACUGAGGAUCUUUGCAAUAACGUGACACUUCCUACGGCUCCCAUAGGCUCUCAGAGCCCGGGAAAAAGCUGAAGGAUAUCGAGGCAGGCUCUGGCUGAAACACUUUAUCGCUUUUGGCAAGUGGCCGCUCAGAGUACUAUGGGCUUAGGCGCGUGCCCGAGUCGACCGAAUGCUUUCUUUUCUUUUGUCUGUUUACCUAAACGCAGAUUCCCGGUCGGAAUAUUAUCGCUUUUUUAUGAGAAAAAUGGCAUAAAACUUGAUUUUAAACAGCGGUUGACAUGCUUCGAAGUACGGUAAUUGAAUAUUUAGAUUUUUUUUGUCACGAAUUGCGCCAUGCUCGUAACCCUUAUUUACCCUUUCGGAUAGUGUCUUGAACGCACGAACAAAACGCCGCUGUUUGGAUAUAACGAUGGAUUAUUUUGGACCAAACCAACAUUUGUUAUUGAAGUAGAAGUCCUGGGAGUACAUUCUGACGAAGACAGCAAAGGUAACAACAUUUUUCUUAUAGUAAAUCUGACUUUGAGUGCUAAACUUGCUGGGUGUCUAAAUAGCUAGCCCUGUGAUGCCGGGCUAUCUACUGAGAAUAUUUGCAAAAUGUGCUUUCACCGAAAAGCUAUUUUAAAAUCGGACAUAUCGAGUGCAUAGAGGAGUUCUGUAUCUAUAAUUCUUAAAAUAAUUGUUAUGCUUUUUGUGAACGUUUAUCGUGAGUAAUUUAGUAAAUUCACCGGCAGCGUUUGGUGGGAAUGCUAGUCACAUGCUAAUGUAAAAACCUGGUUUUUGAUAUAAAUAUGAACUUGAUUGAACAAAACAUGCAUGUAUUGUAUAACAUAAUGUCCUAGGGCUGUCAUCUGAUGAAGAUCAUCAAAGGUUAGUGCUGCAUUUAGCUGUCUUCUGGGUUUUUGUGACAUUAUAUGCUAGCUUGAAAAAUGGGUGUCUUAUUUCUGGCUGGGUACUCUGCUGACAAUCUAAUGUUUUGCUUUUGUUGUAAAGCCUUUUUGAAAUCGGACAGUGUGGUUAGAUUAACGAGAGUCUUGUCUUUAAAAUGCUGUAAAAUAGUCAUAUGUUUAAGAAAUUGAAGUAAUAGCAUUUCUAAGGUAUUUGAAAAUCGCGCCACGGGAUUCAACUGGCUGUUGCGUAGGUGGGACGAAUUCGUCCCGCCUAGCCCAGAGAGGUUAAGCAUAUAAUCUUAUCUUUAAACUUCUAUUAUGCUAUCCUUCCCUUGCCUUUAAGUUCCUAAUUUAUUAGCCCCCUUUUAUCUCGCCUACAACCUCACCUCCUUUCCUAAGAAUUACCCUAUAUCCCCGGGUCGCACCCUACAAGUUUACGAUCCCAGCUGGAGAUUUCAGUAUUCUUAUCUAAAAUUUUCCGACCCCAGUCGUACUCUCGUAGGUACAAACCUCGCCGGCAGCAAUUGCUUUUUCAAUUAUUCCCUAUAUCCCCGGGUCGCACCCUACAAGUGACGAUCCCAGCCGGAGAUUUCAGUAUUUUCUAGUUCUAUAUCCCCGGGUCGCACCCUACAAGUGACGAUCCCAGCCGGAGAUUUCAGUAUUUUCUAUCCCUAUAUCCCCGGGUCGCACCCUUCAAGUGACGAUCCCAGCCUGAGAUUUCAGUAUUUUCUACGGUCCUAAUCGUGCCCUACAGUAUCACGGAUCUUGCCGGUAGAACAAUACUCAAAGUUACCAAGGUAAUAACAACACAUUCACCAUGGGUUUGCAUGUCACAAUAAUCACUCUAUAAUAUUUCUUAUCUACUCAUAAUAAUUCAUAAUUUGGUUCACUUACAUCGAACAGGUGCUUCACGAAAUUAAUUUGGUUAAAGCCAAUAUGCAGAUCUUUAGUUAUUAUAACAAUAGGUGUCUGCUUACCUGUUUUUAGUUGUCCGGACUCUUUGUGAAACACACCGUUUCCCGAGAGAAAUGUCCAAUUGGCUGAUCAAUGCUCAGCGAAGUUGUCCUCUACCAGAACGUCGGGAUCACCAUGUUAAAGUUGCGUCAAUUCGAUUCUGGUAUCAGAACAAAAUAGUCAGCACAUAGUAACUUCUGAUUUAUUUGUACUUUAAUUAAUGCAAACACGUGUAUGGUAAAUAUGUGGUUUAUAUAUAUAUAUAUAUAUAUAUGGUCUCGCUGUUACACCACGCAGGGCAGACAGAGAAGAGAACGUCACAUCCUAUUGUUCUCUCUUAUAUACUCUGACAGUGAUAGUUCCCGCUCAAUGCUGGCCUGUCAGAGGGAGGAGGAGCGUGGUUUAAACUUGCUCAUCCUAUCGUCGGCGUGCAGGCUGGUCCCAGCCUCGUGACGCACUUCCUGUCCCCGAUUGUAGUUCUUGUCUUCAGCAGUUGACUUAUCCGUAGUUUAUAUACUUAAUAUUGUAGCAUAGCUUCCCCAGUAUAUUAUAUAGCUUAUGCAAACAAAUAGCCAGUUCAACCCUAACAACAGGCUUCCUUCUUUUCACUCUGUCGAUUAAGCUAGCAUUGUGGAGUAACUACAAUGUUGUUGAUCCAUCCUCAGUUUUCUCCUAUCAAAGCCAUUAAACUCUUAACUGUUUUAAAGUCACCAUUGUCCUCAUGGUGAAAUCCCUGAGCGGUUUCCUUCCUCUCUGGCAAAGUGAGUUAGGAAGGGUGCCUGAAUCUUUGUAGUGACUGAUUGCAUUGAUACACCAUCCAACGUGUAAUUAAUAACUUCACCAUGCUCAAAGGGAUAUUAAAUGACUGCUUUUUAUAUUUUUACCCAUCUACCAAUAGGUGCCCUUCUUUGCGAUGCAUUGGAAAACCUCCCUGGUCUUUGUGGUUGAAUCUGUGUUUGAAAUUCAAUGCUUGACUAAGGGACCUUAAAGAUAAUUGUAUGAGUGGGGUACAGAGAUGAGGUAGUCAUUCAAAAAUCAUGUUAAAUACUAUUAUUGCACACAGAGUGAGUCCAUGCAACUUAUUAUUUGACUUGUUAAGAACAUUUUUAGUCCUGAACCUAUUUAGGCUUGCCAAAACAAAGAGGUUGAAUACUUAUUGACUUAAGACAUUUCAGCUUUUCAUUUUUUAUUAACUUGUAAAAAUUCAGUUGCAUUUUUCGAUUCGAUAUUGAUAUCAUAUCGGUUCGUAGGAAAUAAAUUGCAACUGUGCGAAUGCUCACUUUUCUGUGAAAUCCAGACAACUGCUUGCGGAUUGCCCAUUGGGCCAGGUGUGUUCUGGUUGCAUAAACCUACCUAACCAGUUUGAAAACAAUGGGAAGCCCCUCCAUAGUUGAUGGCUCAUCAGCAGGCAAUUAAGUAUGCUUGACAACCUGUUUUAGUUUAAAUGUUCGUUUUUUAAAGUAUGCUUAGCACUAGCAGCCUAUGAGAAGGUCUCUGAGAGGGCUUUUUGCUUAAAACCUUAACUUCUUUCAACAAAGUAAUUGACUCUCCGACAACUCAUAUAAAACAUAGUCUCGCAUGCCAUUGAGAAAAAGCGUAUUCACAUUGCAAGACUGCUAUAGAGAACAUUCACACAUAAACACCAAAACUGCUACUGUUUUCUAAAAGGCAGAUGCUACGGAUCCGACGUUUCUGGACACCACUUCUCGGAGGUGCAAGUAAGCCUACCCAUGACAACCUUUUAAAAUGCCUACCACUUCUUGCUGAAUGAAUCCUCUCCAAUUUGUCACGAGUCAACGUAAACACACUAUUGUUUGGAGCGGCAAGCCUGAAUCCUAAUUGCCUCAUCUGACAAAACACACGUCAGUGUAUCCUCGUUUAUUUCCAUGUCAACCUCUCCAUUUACAUGUUGCUCAUCUGCUUCAGUUUUCAUAGCGCUUACGAUUUCCUCAUCUGAUAAACCUCUACCACAACCUUCUAAGUGGUAGUAUUCAUUCCCAAUACCUUGGGUGUCUGAGAUUUGAUUGGGCUGCACCACUGACAGUCCAUCAUAUGAACUCGUGGCUACAUCAGGAUGAAGAUCCGUAGCAGGUUCUUUAUCCUCAGAGGUGUGUACACUUUGCAUAUUAAGUUGGCAGUCUGAGGGUCUUCUCUGAGCAGUUGACAUUCCCUCAUUUAAACUCUCCACAUGCAAUAGAUUGUGUACCUGAGCCUCAGUUACAUUCUCUGUUUGUACCAUUUUGUUUAAUUUCACCUUGUUGUCACUAGCAAUAGAAUGUAUAAAUGUGUCACAGUCCACUUUAAGACUAAAUCAAAUCAAAUGAUAUUUGUCACAUGCUUUGUAGACAACAGGUCAAAUACAGUGAGAUGCUUACUUACGGGCCCUUCCCAACAAUGCAAAGAGAAAGAAAAUAGAGAAAUAAUAGAAAAGUAAAACAACGGCUGUAAUUUGCAGUAGCUGUACUUGAACUCAACAUUAUUCUGAGUAGUAUAGAAAAGUAGCAGAUUCUACAUCCUUUUGACUAUCUAGAGAUACGCCAACACAAUCAGUGAUACCAAUUUGUACAGAUAUCACAUGCUAGCAUUGCUCAUUUACUGUUAUUUGGUGAUUUACACAAACAAAUUCCUCACCAUAUUUACGUUUCACUGCAUUUCGCUUCCCCACUGGUGUAAAGUACUUAAGAUUAAAUUCCUUUAAAGUACUAUUGACUUUUUUUUGGUGGGGGGGGUAUCUGUACUUUACUUUACUAUUUAUAUUUUUGACUACUUUUACUUCACUACAUUCCUAAAGAAAAUAAUGUGCUUAGCAGGACAGGAAAAUGGUGCAAUUCAUGCACUUAUCAAGAGAAUAUCCCUGGUCAUCCCUACUGCCUCUGAUUUGGUGGACUCACUGAAAACACAUGCUUAGUAUGUACACUAUGUCUGUGUUGGAGUGUGCCCCUGGCUAUCCAUAAAUUAAAAAACAAUGUUGCCGUCUGUGUCACGUCCUGACCAGUAAAGGGGUAAUUUGUAAUUGUAGACUGGUCAGGGUGUGGCAGGGGGUGUUUGUUUUGGGUUUUUUGGUUCUAGGGGAUUUUGGUUCUAGUUUUCUAUAUCUAUGUUUCUUUUUCUAUGUGUGGCCAGGUAUAGCUUCCAAUCAGAGGCAGGUGUCUUUCAUUGUCUCUGAUUGGAAGCCAUACUUAGGCAGCCUGUUUUUCCUGUGUUUUUGUGGGUGGUUGUUUUCGGUAUAGCCUAUAUGCCUUACAGAACUGUUUAUUGUCGGUUUGUUAUGUUUGUUUAAGUGUUCACUUUAUUUCAUAAUAAAAGCAGAUGAGCACUUUACCCGCUGCGUUUUGGUCCCCCUUCAUCGACACCUGUGACAGUCUGGUUUGCCUAAUAUAAGGAAUUUUCAAUGAGUUUUAUUUUAGCAAUUACAUUUACUUUGAUGAUUUAAGUACAUUUUAAACCA
Molecule: long non-coding RNA, 5958 nt
Filed under: Salmo salar (Atlantic salmon)
Lineage: Eukaryota; Metazoa; Chordata; Actinopteri; Salmoniformes; Salmonidae
Description: lncRNA (ENSSSAG00000109793.1)
Source: RNAcentral